This is a long non-coding RNA of Brassica napus (rape), 2301 nucleotides long. RefSeq lists it as uncharacterized. The record is from RefSeq and is a predicted model, not a curated record. The transcript has 3 exons. NCBI's taxonomy places the organism in Eukaryota, Viridiplantae, Streptophyta, Magnoliopsida, Brassicales, Brassicaceae.
UAGGGUUUGGUAACAUAUGGUUUAGGGUUUAGAGAUAGAUUCUGAAAUCUUACCUUCAUUUUUUUUUGUUUUCAAAUUGACUCAUAUAUGUUUAGUAACUAUCUAAUAACUUGAUUUAAACACUUUCUAAGUUUCUUUUAAGUUUAAGAAAGUGUUUUUUGCAUAGGUAAUUACACUACAAGAAAAUAAGCUUAUUGCCACAAUUUUGACACAACCAUUUUGUGGAAAAUAAAAUAUUGCCACAUAUUUGCCAUUACAUUGCCACAAACUCAUGUUUUUCAAAAUUAGUUACAAAGUUGUAACAAUUUGUGGCAAAAUUUGACACGGAUUUUAUUUUCUGGCAAUAUGUGGUAAUAAUUGCCACAAAUUUUCAAAGAUAUAACAAUUAGUGGCAAAAUUUGCCAUAUAUAAAUUUGUGGUACAAUUUUGUGACAAAUUUGUAAGGAACUUGCAAAACUAAUCAUCCAACCUUUUGUCGCAUUUAUUUUAAACUACAAUUAUCACAAAUUUUUUACAUGGUUUUUGUGGCUAUGCUAAACUCUAAACACUAAAUACAAAAAUUAGAUACUAUAAUAUAACUAAACUAAUUUAGAUUUAGUAUUUUUAAGAAAUUAUAAUUUUAUAAAUCUGUCUGUUAAAAUAUUAAUGUCAAACCUUAAAUCUAAAACUCAAAACUCAUUUCCAUAACUCCAAACCCUAAAUCAUGAACCCUAUCUCCCUAAAAACUGUUAAAAUGUAACUACUAUAAUUAAACUAUAAAUCAUAAAUCAAAUAUAAUCAUUACUUAUAUAUAUGUAAAUACUUAAAAUCAUUCGCAUACUUUAUAUAAAAUCAAAAUUGUAGGUCAAAUCAUUAAGAAACUUAUAAGUUAAACACAAUAAAUAUAGAUUACACAACUUUUUAAGAAACUGUAGUAAUAAAUGGCUGCAAAGUGAAAAAGUAACGAAGAAGUACUGAAAAUAAAAUGAAGAUGUAAAGAAAUGUUGUCAUUGGCUAAUCCUAAAAGACAUGGAUAGCUACUUGUCACCGUUGAUAACUUCAAUCCAACGGUUCAGAUCCGUUCCUUCUUUUUCUCCUCACCACACCCUGUGUUUCUUUUAGGCUCUCUCUUAUCUCUUCCCUAAAUCUAUAGGGUCGAUUUCUCUUUAUUCUCCAUCUUCUGCGUUUGUGUCUAUUUUUUUUUUGCUUAAGCUUUGAAAACUAAACGCGUUUGCAUUUUUCCUCUGCUACCUUCUCUCUCCGGCGUUUCUUUAGCUGUCGACCCUUUCUUCUCAUUCGACUUCAAAGUCUCGGCGUUCCUCAACAGGUGAAGCCGUUAAUGAGCAGUUUCCAGAUCCAAUCCUCAAUGCUACGACCAACUACAAUGUUGUUGUUAAAGUUUCCAAUCAUUUGGAUGAGCCUCUUCUCUUGACUUGUAUGUGCGGUGGGGGAAAUGAUGAAUGUGGUGGAGAUCCCAAAAAAUGCCGGUGCCAGAGACAGUGACAGAGCCGGAAACAGUGCCAGAGCCUGAGCCAGCAACGGUCGCUCUGCGUAGGGCGAUUGUGUAUAAUAUAUGUAUUCAAUUAUUUUUUAAUUAAUUAGUAAAAACAUUUUUUUGGAUUUUUUUUGUGCUAGCCAUGCUUUUGCCACAACUAAAAUCGUUACUAUUUUAUCACGAAUUAAUUUAUGUCAAAAUGUGAUAGUUACCACGAAAUAUGUGUGUGGCAUUUUGUGGCAAAGCUGUCACAAAUUUGCCACUAAUACUGAUUUGCUACGAGUGUAUAGCCAGGAUUUUUAUUUUGUGGCAAACUGUUGUAAACAUCUAUAUUGCCACGGAUUUUAGUCUUUUACCAGAAACCUAAUUGUGGCAAUACGGAUAUUUUCUUGUAGUGAUUGAUUUUAGGGUCUAGAAGACUCACAAAAGAUAUAAAAAGAAUUCUUUCGACACAUCCCACCUAAAUUUUAGUAGAACUUACGGUUCCCGCUUAAAUUUUGGAAAUUUUUUGGUUUUCCGCCUAAAUCAAAAGUCUUCCAUAAGUCAUCCAGGAGUCUUCCAGAGGAAGUUUUCUCAUAGAUUAGAUCUUAAAAAUAAUUAAUAAAUUUUAAAAAAAAAUAUUUUCAAAGGAAAAAAGUCAAAAUCAUGUAUUAAUAAACAUUUCUAAAAGAUGAAAAUUUAGUUUUACUGAAAUUGAAUUAUUUUUAACAUAGAUGAGAGAAUGUAGAUUGAGUCAUGAUAGUCUUUGUUUUAGGGUAUGGUAACAUAUGUUGUAGUAUUGUUAGUAUUUUUAGGGUUAGAUUUUGAAAUCUCAUCUUUUUUUUUUA